This 30-nucleotide non-coding RNA is filed under the name Rattus norvegicus (Norway rat). Lineage: Eukaryota; Metazoa; Chordata; Mammalia; Rodentia; Muridae. The record is from RNAcentral.
UGCGCUGGCUUCUAGGAGCUUCCUACAUCC